UAACACGUAGGUAAUGUGCCUUUGGGUGGGGAAUAACUUAGGGAAACUUAAGCUAAUACCGCAUAAUGCAGCGGCUCCUAAUGGAGACAGUUGUUAAAGCGAGCAAUCGCGCCUAAAGAGCAGUCUGCGGCAGAUUAGGUAGUUGGUAAGGUAAUGGCUUACCAAGCCUGCGAUCUGUAACCGACCUGAGAGGGUGGUCGGUCACACUGACACUGAAUAACGGGUCAG
Molecule: ribosomal RNA, 228 nt
Filed under: uncultured bacterium
Lineage: Bacteria
Description: partial 16S ribosomal RNA
Rfam family: Bacterial small subunit ribosomal RNA
Source: RNAcentral